AACCUUUACAAUGCACGCAAGUGUGAUAAGGGAACCCUAAGUGCUGAUACUUUGUAUCAGCUUUUGCCAAGAGUAAAUAUCUUGGCGAAUAAGUGGUGGGCAAUACCUGUGCCAGCCGCCGCGGUAACCCAGGAGCCACAAGUGGCAACCAGUUUUAUUGGGCCUAAAGCGUCCGUAGCCUGUUUGGUAAAUCUUCUGUGAAAUCGUUGUGCUCAACAUAACGGCAUGCAGAAGACACUGCCAGACUUGGGACCGGGAGGAGUCAGAGGUAUUUUGGGGGGAGCGGUAAAAUGCUAUAAUCCCCGAAGGACCACCUGUGGCGAAGGCGUCUGACUAGAACGGAUCCGACGGUGAGGGACGAAAGCUAGGGGAGCAAUCCGG
This 381-nucleotide ribosomal RNA is filed under the name uncultured archaeon. Its description in RNAcentral is "bacterial SSU rRNA". It matches the Rfam family "Archaeal small subunit ribosomal RNA", at positions 345 to 727 of the family's 1478-position model. The record is from RNAcentral.